RNAcentral lists this ribosomal RNA (482 nucleotides) under uncultured bacterium. Its description in RNAcentral is "partial 16S ribosomal RNA". It matches the Rfam family "Bacterial small subunit ribosomal RNA", at positions 30 to 507 of the family's 1533-position model. The record is from RNAcentral.
AUUGAACGCUGGCGGCAUGCUUUACACAUGCAAGUCGAACGGUAACAGGCCGCAAGGUGCUGACGAGUGGCGAACGGGUGAGUAAUGCAUCGGAACGUGCCCAGUCGUGGGGGAUAACUACUCGAAAGAGUAGCUAAUACCGCAUACGAUCUAUGGAUGAAAGCGGGGGACCGUAAGGCCUCGCGCGAUUGGAUCGGCCGAUGUCAGAUUAGGUAGUUGGUGGGGUAAAGGCUCACCAAGCCAACGAUCUGUAGCUGGUCUGAGAGGACGACCAGCCACACGGGGAGUGAGACACGGCCCAGACGCCUACGGGAGGCAGCAGUGGGGAAUUUUGGACAAUGGGCGCAAGCCUGAUCCAGCAAUGCCGCGUGCAGGAAGAAGGCCUUCGGGUUGUAAACUGCUUUUGUACGGAACGAAACGGCUCUGGUUAAUACCCGGGGCUAAUGACGGUACCGUAAGAAUAAGCACCGGCUAACUACGUG